RNAcentral lists this ribosomal RNA (496 nucleotides) under uncultured bacterium. Its description in RNAcentral is "partial 16S ribosomal RNA". It matches the Rfam family "Bacterial small subunit ribosomal RNA", at positions 28 to 507 of the family's 1533-position model. The record is from RNAcentral.
GAUGAACGCUGGCGGCGUGCCUAAUACAUGCAAGUCGAGCGAACGGACGAGAAGCUUGCUUCUCUGAUGUUAGCGGCGGACGGGUGAGUAACACGUGGAUAACCUACCUAUAAGACUGGGAUAACUUCGGGAAACCGGAGCUAAUACCGGAUGAUAUUUUGAACCGCAUGGUUCAAAAGUGAAAGACGGUCUUGAUGUCACUUAUAGAUGGAUCCGCGCUGCAUUAGCUAGUUGGUAAGGUAACGGCUUACCAAGGCAACGAUGCAUAGCCGACCUGAGAGGGUGAUCGGCCACACUGGAACUGAGACACGGUCCAGACUCCUACGGGAGGCAGCAGUAGGGAAUCUUCCGCAAUGGCGAAAGCCUGACGGAGCAACGCCGCGUGAGUGAUGAAGGUCUUCGGAUCGUAAAACUCUGUUAUUAGGGAAGAACAUAUGUGUAAGUAACUGUGCACAUCUUGACGGUACCUAAUCAGAAAGCCACGGCUAACUACGUG